CUCCAGAUGUUGCUGAACUACAACUCCCAUGAUUUUCAGCCUAUCUAUUUAAGUCAUAGAAUCAUGGGAGUUGUAGUUCAGCAACAUCUGGAG
This is a non-coding RNA of Pelobates cultripes (western spadefoot toad), 93 nucleotides long. The record is from the annotation of a GenBank genome assembly. NCBI's taxonomy places the organism in Eukaryota, Metazoa, Chordata, Amphibia, Anura, Pelobatidae.